This is a long non-coding RNA of Ornithorhynchus anatinus (platypus), 9856 nucleotides long. RefSeq lists it as uncharacterized. The transcript is spliced from 3 exons. The record is from RefSeq and is a predicted model, not a curated record. Lineage: Eukaryota; Metazoa; Chordata; Mammalia; Monotremata; Ornithorhynchidae.
AUAGAAUCAAGGCUCCGAUAGAGUUCCGUAGCAUAAACCGCUGUGAUUUUCAAGAGUUCUCUCCCAUGACUAUUGGUUUGGGUGACUGUUGUGAGGAUUUUGAUCAGACGAGGGGAAAGCAAAUAACUUGUGACACAGUGGCAAUCGUAUAAUAACGCUUAUUUGAAACGGAUUUGGAGUAGGGCUCUCCACCUGCUUUAGUCUAGGAAAGUGAAGGAGUGGCUCUGCUCUCAAACCCAGUUUGGUUUUUUUUCAGAAACCUGAACUACCCACAUCGCCUGCCAUUGACAAGGGAAGUGGAGAUGUCAGCCGUGGGUAGGCGAGGUGGGCCAGAUGGAGAGAUGCCAGGUGAACCCAAGGAAAGGACUGGAACCAAAAUGAAAAGAAUGCAAAUGGCUCAGAUCUUCACUGGAAAAGAUCGUGGAAACCUGAAGCAAGAAACUGAGGAUCAAGUUGAGGAAAAGUGCAAGAGAUGGAUAAAGAGAAACUCUUUCAGGGUACACCCAAUCUCCCCGGAGCUUGUAAGAGUUCCACCCCGAUCUUUAUGACCGGCAACAAGGUGGAAGAAAACAUUAAUUUCUGAGGUUAAAGAGGAGAAAUUUCCUAAAGUUUCCACCACAGCCAAUUGUGCAAGCUUUAAGACUUGAGGCAGGGGAGAAAAAGCUUAUCUUCAAAUUUCAUAUAAAAUCAACUACAUUUUGCUGCCAGAAUAUUUGAAGUGUGAAAGAAGGAGGUAAUUGCUUCAUGGCGUGUCACCUUCUGUAUUCUCUCCUGGGUCUUUAUGGCCAAACCCCUUUGAGGGAGCUCUGAGAAUGUUUGAUGGGAAUAGGAGAGACUUGCUUCAUGCAAUGUCUACUCCAUAAUCCUCUGUUGGGUCUUUAAGGCCUAACCCCUUGAGAGAGCAAAGAGAAUGUUUGAGGUGAAAAAGGAGAGAUUUGCUUCAUGCAGUAUCUCACCCAUGUCUUCACGACCUAAUGCCUCAAGUGAGCAGAGACAAUAUUACAGGAGGAAAAGGAAAAGCUUGCUUCAUGCAAUAUCUACUUAAUUCUCUCUUAGGUCUUAAAGUCCCCCAUUCCUGGAGAUAGCAGAGGAAAAACUGAGGUGAAAAAGGAGAGAUUUGCUUCAUGCAACAUCUCACCAAGGUCUUCAUGACCUAAUGCCUCAGAUGAGCAGAGAUGAUACUGUAGGUGGAGAAAGAGAUACUUGCUUCAUGCAAUCUCUACUUAAUUCUCUCUUGGGUCUUUAAGGCCCAACUCCUUGAGAGAGCAGAGAGAAUGUUUAAGGUGAAAAAGGAGAGAUUUGCUUCAUGCAUUAUCUCACCAAGGUCUUCAUGACCUAAUGCCUCAGAUGAGCAGAGAUGAUAUUGUAGCUGGGACAGGAGAUACUUGCUUCAUGCAAUAUCUACUUAAUUCUCUCUUGGGUCUUUAAGUACCCCACUCCUGGAGAUAGCAGAGAGAAUGUUAGAGGUGAAAAAGGAGAGAUUUGCUUUAUGCAGUAUCUAACCCAGAUCUUCACGAUCUAAUGCCUCAAUAGAGCAGAGACAAUAUUAUAGGUGGAAAAGGAGAUACCUGCUAUCUACUAAUUGUCUUAUUGGACCUUUACGGCCCAAUAGCUUGAGAGAGCAGGGAGAAUAUUUCAAAUGAAAAAGAGAUUUGCUCCAUGCAAUAUCUAACCCAAGUCUUCACGACCAUAUGCCUCAGAUGAGCAGAGGUGAUACUGUAGGUGGAAAAAGAGAUACUAGCUUCAUGCAAUAUCUACUUAGUUCUCUCUCGGGUCUCUAAGGCCUAACUCCUUGAGAGAGCAGAGAGAAUGUUUGAGGUGAAAAAGGAGAGAUCUGCUUCAUGCAAUAUCUCACCAAGGUCUUCAUGACCUAAUGCCUCCAAUGAGCAGAGAUGAUACUGUAGGUGGAAACGGAGGUACUUGCUUCAUGCAAUAUCUAUUUAAUUCUCUCUUAGGUCUUUAAGGCCCAACUCCUUGAGAGAGCAGAGAGAAUGUUUGAAGUGAAAAAGGGGAGAUCUGCCUCAUGCAAUAUCUCACCGAGGUCUUCAUGACCUAAUGCCUCAAAUGAGCAGAGAUGAUAUUGUAGGUGGAAAAGGGGAUACUUGCUUCAUGCAAUAUCUAUUUAAUUCUCUCUUAGGUCUUUAAGGCCCAACUCGUUGAGAGAGCAGAGAGAAUGUUUGAGGUAAAAAAGGAGAGAUUUGCUUCAUGCAAUAUCUCAGCAAGGUCCUCAUGACCGAAUGCUGCAAAUGAGCAGAUUUGAUAUUGCAGGUGGAGAAAGAGAUACUUGCUUCAUCUAAUCUCUACUUAAUUCUCUCUUGGGUCUUGAAGGCCUAACUGCUUGAGAGAUCAGAGAGAAUGUUCGAGGUGAAAAAGGAGAGAUUUGCUUCAUGCAGUAUCUCACCCAGGUCUUCACGACCAAAUGCCUCAAAUAAGCAGAGGUAACAUUAGAGGUGGCAAAGAAGAUUCUUGCUUCAUGCAAUCACUACAUAAUUCUCUCUUGGGCCUUUAAGGCUCAACUCCUUGAGGGAACAGAGAGAAUGUUUGAGGUGAAAAAGGAGAGAUUAGUUUCAUGCAAUAUCUCACCAAGGUCUUCAUGACCUAAUGCCUCAAAUGAGCAGAGAUGAUAUUGUAGGUGGAGAAAGAGAUACUUGCUUCAUGCAAUCUCUACUUAAUUCUCUCUUGGGUCUUUAAGGCCCAACUCCUUGAGAGAGCAGAGAGAAUGUUUGAGGUGAAAAAAGAGAGAUUUGCUUCAUGCAAUAUCUCACCAAGGUCUUCAUGACCGAAUGCCUCAAAUAAGCAGAGAUGAUAUUGUAGGUGGAAAAGGAGUUCCUUGCUUCAUGCAAUAUCUACUGAAUUCUCUCUUGGGUCAUUAAGGCCCCACUCCUUCAGAGAGCAGACUGAGUGUUUGAGGUGAAAAAGGAGAGAUUUGCUUCAUGCAGUAUCUCCCCCAGGUCUUCACGUCCUAAUGCCUCAAGAAAGCAGAGACAGUAAUGAUAGGUGGCAAAGGAGAUUCUUGCUUCAUGCAGUAUCUACUUAAAUCUCUCUGGGGUCAUUAAGGCCCAAACCCCUGAGAGAGCAGAGACAAAGAUUGAGGUGAAAAAGGAGAGAUUUGCUUCAUGCAAUAUCUCACACAGGUCUUCAUGACCAAGUGCCUCAAAUGAGCAGAGAUGAUAAUGUAGGUGGAAAAAGAGAUACUUGCUUCAUGCAAUAUCUACUUAAUUCUCUUAAUGGGUCUUUAAGGCCCAACAGCUUGAGAGAGCAGAGGGAAUGUUUGAGGUGAAAAAGGAGAGAUUUGCUUCAUGCAAUAUCUCACCCAGGUCCUCCCUUUCCUAAUACCUCAAAUGAGCAGAGAUGAUAUUGUAGGUGGAAAAAGAGAUACUUGCUUCAUGCCGUAUCUACUUGACUCUCUCUUUGGUCUUUAAGGCCCAACACCUUGAGAGAGCAGAUAGAAUGUUUGAGGUGAAAGAGGAGAGAUUUGCUUCAUGCAGUAUCUCCCACUGAUCUUCACAACGUAAUGGCAGUGGGGAGCACUGAGACUAUUUUGGGUGGAAAAGAAGAGCUUUGCUUCAGGCAAUAUCUCCCCUUCCUUCUCCCCUUGGUCUUUAUGAAGCAAUUCCUCAAGUGAUCAGAGAAAAUGUUUGAAGAGGUAAAUGAGACAUCUGUUUCGUGCCAUAUCUUCUUCACAAUAGUCUCCUGCGUCUAAGGCCAAAUUUCCUGAGAGAGCAGGGUGAAUCCUUGAAAAUGAAAAGGAGAAAUCUGCUUCAUACAAUAUCUUCUCCUUAAUUUUCUCUUGGGUCUUCAGGCAUAACUCUGUGACAGAGCAGAGAGUCUGAUUGAAGAUGAAAAGGAGAGAUUUGCUUCAUGCAAUAACUCUUUCUUAAUUCUCUCUUAGGCCUUUAAGGCUUAACUCUUUAUAAGAGCAAAGAGAAUGAGGUAAAUAAGGAAAGAUUUGCUUCACACCAUAUAUCUCUUCUGAACGUCUCUCAAGGGUCUUUAAAGCCAAAUCCCUUAAGAGAGCAUAGUGAAAGUUUGAAAAUGAAAAGAGAAUUCUUGUUCAUGCAAUAUCUCCUCCUUCAAUCUCCCCUGGGCCUUUAAGGCCUAACUCCUAGAGAGAGCCGAGAAAUGACUGAGGUGAAAAAAAGAGAGAUGUGCUUCAUGCAGUAUCUCUCCUCCUUAAUUCUCUUUUGUGUCUUUAAGCCACAACUCCAUGAAUGAGGAGAGAGAAUAUUUGGGGGUGCAAAGUAGAAAUUUGCUUCAUGCAGCAUCUCCUUCUCAAUUUUCUCUUGGGUCUUUAAGGCCUAACUCUUCGAGAGAUCAGAGAGAAUGUUUGGAGGUUAAAAAGGAGAACUUUGCUUCAUGCCAUUAUCACCUUCUUUAUUCCCUCAGGGUUCUCUAAGGACAACCCCCUUGAGAGAGCAGAGGAAAUGUUUGAAGUUGAACAGAGAAGACCUGAUUCAUGCAACAUCUCCUCCCUAAUUCCAUCUUAGGUCUUAAGGUCCUACCUUGUUGAAGGAGCAGAGAUGAUAAUUGAGGAUGAAAAGUAGACAUUUGCUUCCUGUAAUAUCUCCUUAUUAAUUCUGUCUAGUGUCUUUGAGGCCUAACUCUUUGAGAGAGAAUGUUUGAGGUUGCAAAGGAGAGAUUUGCUUCAUGCAAUAUCUAUCCUUCUGAUUAAGUCCAAGGACAACCGAUUGAAUGUUGGAUAAGGGCAAGGAGUAAUCUUCUUCAUGCACUUUCUCCUCCUAAAUUGGUCUGGGGGUCUUUAAGGCCUAUCUCCAUGAAUGAAGAGUGAAAAUAUUUGAGGAUGAAAAGUAGAGAAUUGCUUCAUGCAAUAGCUCCUCCUUAAUUCUCUCCUGGCUCUUUAAGGCCUAACUCCUUGAGAUAGCAGAAAGAAUAUUUGAGCAUGAAACAUAGAGAUUUGCUUCAUGUAAGAUCUCCUUCUUAAUUGUCUCUGGAGUCUUUAAAGCCAAAAUCCCAGAGAGAGCACAGAGAAUGUUUGCAAAUGAAAAGUAGUGACUUGCUUCAUGGAGUAUCUUCUUGUUAAUUCCCCUUUGGGCCAUAAAGAUCUAAUGCCUUGCCCGAGCUCAGAGCAAGUUUGAGGAUAACUAGGAGGAAUUUGCUUCACGCGACAUCUCCUUGUUAAUUUUCUCCUAGGUCGAUAAGGCCCAACUCCUUGGGAAAGCAGAGAGAAGGUUUGAGGUGAAAAAGGAGAGAAUUGCUUCACGCAAUCGCUCACCCAGAUCUUCAUGACCUAAUGCCUCAAGGAGGUCGAGACGAUACUUGCUUCAUGCAAUCUCUACUUAAUUCUCUCUUGGGUCUGUAAGGCCCAACUCCUUGAGAGAGCAGAGAGAAUGUUUGAGGUGAAAAAGGAGAGAUUUGCUUCAUGCAAUAUCUCACCAAGGUCUUCAUGACCUAAUGCCUCAAAUGAGCAGGGAUGAUAUUGUAGGUGGAAAAGGAGAUACUUGCUUCAUGCAAUAUCUACUUAAUUCUCUCUUGGGUCUUUAAGGCCCAACUCCUUGAGAGAGCAGAGAGAAUGAUUGAGGUAAAAAAGGAGACAUUUGCUUCAUGCAACAUCUCACCAAGGUCUUCAUGACCGAAUGCCGCAAAUGAGCAGAUUUAAUAAUGUAGGUGGAGAAAGAGAUAGUUGCUUCAUCUAAUAUCUCCUUAAUUCUCUCUUGGGUCUUGAAGACCUAACUCCUUGAGAGAGCAGAGAGAAUGUUUGAGGUGAAAAAGGAGAGAUUUGCUUCACGCAGUAUCUCACCCAGGUCUUCAUGACCAAAUGCCUCAAGUAAGCAGAGAUGACUUUAGAGGUGGCAAAGGAGAUUCUUGCUUCAUGCAAUCUCCACAUAAUUCUCUCUUGGGCCUUUAAGGCCCAACUCCUUGAGAGAACAGAGAGAAUGUUUGAGGUGAAAAAGGAGAGAUUUGCUUCAUGCAAUAUCUCACCAAGGUCUUCAUGACCUAAUGCCCCAAAUGAGCAAAGAUGAUAUUGUAGUUGGAAAAAGAGAUACUUGCUUCAUGCAAUAUCUACUUAAUUCUCUCUUGGGUCUCUAAGGCCCAUCUUCUUGAGAGAGCAGAGAGAAUGUUUGAGGUGAAAAAGGGGAGAUUUGCUUCAUGCAGUAUCUCACCCAGGUCUUCACGACCAAAUGCCUCAAAUGAGCAGAGGUGAUAUUAUAGGUCGAAAAUGGAAUACUUGCCUCAUGCAAUAUGUACUUAAUUCUCUCUUGGGUCUUUAAGGCCCAACACUUUGAGAGAGCAGAGAGAGAUUUGCUUCAUGCAAUAUCUCACCCAGAUCUUCAUGACCUAAUGUCUCAAGAGAGCAGACACAGUAGCAUGGGUGGAAAAGGUGUUCCUUGCUUCAUGUAAUCUCUACUUAAUUCUCUCUUGGGUCUUUAAGGCCGACACCUUGAGAGAACAGAGGGAACGUUUGUGGUGAAAAAGGAGAGAUUUGCUUCAUGCAGUAUUUCACCCAGGUCUUCACGACCAAAUGCCUCAAAUGAGCAAGAGAUGAUAGUAUAGGUAGAAAAGAGAAUACUUGCUUCAUGCAAUGUCUACUUAAUUCUCUCUUGGGUCUUUAAGGCCCAACACCUUGAGAGAGCAGAGAGAAUGUUUGAGGUGAAAAAGGAGAGAUUUGCUUCAUGCAGUAUCUCACCCAGGUCUUCACGACCAAAUGCCUCAAAUGAGCCAGAGACGAUAUUAUAGGUAGAAAUGGAGAUUCUUGCUACAUGAAAAAAUCUACUUAAUUCUCUCUUGGGCCUUUAAGGCUCACCUCCUUGAGGGAGCGGAGAGAAUAUUUGAGGUGAAAAAGGGGAGAUUUGCUUUAUGCAAUAUUUCACCCAGGUCUUGAAGACCUACUUCCUCAAGGGUGCCGAGACAAUAAUAUAGAUGGAAAAGGAGUUCCUUGCUUCAUGCACUAUCUACUUAAUUAUUUCUUGGGUCUUUAAGGCCCAACUCCUUGAGAGAACAGAGGGAAUGUUUGGGGUGAAAAAGGAGAGAUUUGCUUCAUGUAAUAUCUCACCCAGGUAGGUCUUCAUGACCUAAUGUCUCAAGUGAGCAGAGACAAAUUAUGGUGGAAGAAGAGAUACCAGCUUCAUGUAGUAUCCUCUUAAGUAUCUUUUGAAUCUUUAAUGCCCAACUCCUCUAGAGAGCAGAGGGAUUAUUUGAGGUGAAAAAGGAGAGAUCUGCUUCAUGCAGUGUUUCCCUUUUAAAUCCUACCCCGGUCUUCAUGACCUAAUGCCUCUACUGAGCAGAGACACUAUUAUAAUGUUAAAGGAGGUACCUGCUUCAUGCAAUAUCUACUUAAUUCUCUCUUGGGUCUUUAAGGCUCAACUCCUUGAGAGAGCAGAGAGAAUGUUUGAGGUGAAAACGGAGAGAUUUGCCUCGUGCAAUAGCUCCCAUUUCAAUCUCACCCAGGUCUUCAUGACCUAAUGCGUCAAUUGAGCAGAGACAACAUUAUAGGUGGAAAAGGAGAUCCUUGCUUUAUGCAGUAUCUACUUACAUUUCCCUUAGGUCUUUAAGACCCAGUUCCCUGAGGUGGAAAAGGAGAGAUUUGCCUCAUGCAAUACCUCACCCAAGUCUUCACCACCUAAUACCUCUUGUGAGCAGAGACAGUAUUAUAGGUGGAAAAAGAGAUACCUGCUUCCUGCCAUAUCUACUUAAUUCUCUCUUGGGUCUUUAAAGCCCAACUCCUUGAGAGAACAGAGAGAAUGUUGGAGGUGGGAGAGAUUUGCUUCAUGCAAUAUUUCCCACUGCCACUCACGACAUAGUGCCUCAAGUAAGCAGGGAGACUACUUUAGGGGGAAAAGAAGAGCUUUGUUUCAGGCAAUGGCUCCCUUUCAUUCUCUUCCGGGUCUUCGUGAUGCCCUGCUUCAAGUUUGCUGAGAAAAGGAUUGAAGAGAUGAAGGAUAAAUUUGCUUCAUGCCAUAUCUUCUUCAUUCUGUCUUCUAAGUCUUUAAAAGCCAAUCUCCCUGAGAGAGCAGGGGAACAUUUUAAAAUGAAAAGGAGAAACAUGCUUUAUGCAAUAUCUCCGUAGUUCCCUCUUGGGCCCUUAAGAACAAAUUAUUGGACUGAAUGGAGAGUAUAUUUGAAGAUAACAAGUAGAGAUGACAUUUGUUUCGUGUGGUAUCUCCUUUAUAAUUCUCUCUUGGGCCUUUAAGUACUAAGUCCUUGAGAAAGUAGAGAGAAUGUUUAAGGUGAAGAAGGAAAGAUUUGUUUCAUGCAAUAUCUCCCUCCACAAUUGUCUCCUGGGUCUUUAAUGCCUAACUCCUUGAACGAGGAGAGAGCAUAAUUGAGGAUGAAAAGUAGAGAUUGACUUCAUGGAGUAUCUCCUUCUUAAUUUUCUCUUGGGUCUCUAAGGCCUAAUUCCUUGAGAGAUCGGAGAGAACGAUGGAGGAGAAUUUUUGGAGAAUUUUGCUUCAUGCAAUAUCAGUGUGUUAAUUGAUUCCUAAGGACAAGAGAGCAGAGGAAAUGUUUGAAGAUGGGAAGAGACUUGCUUCAUGCAAUAUCUCCUCCUUAACUCUCUUGGGCCUAUUAAGAUCUAACUCUUUGACCGAGCAGAGAGUAUGUGGGAAGAUAAAAAGGAGAGAUUUGCUUCCUGCAGUAUCUCCUUAUUAAUUCUAUCUUGGGCUUUUCAGGCCUAACUCCUUGAGAGAGCAGAGAAAAUGUUUGAAAUGAAAAAGGAGAGAUUUGCUUGAUGCAUUCUCUCUCCUUCUUGGGGCUGGGGGUUUAGGGCCAAACUCCCUGAGACAGCAGAAUGAAUGUUGGAACCUAAAAGCAGAAACCUGCUUCAUGCAAGUUCUUUUCCUUAAUUGUCUAACUCCUUGAGUGAGCACUGAGAAUAUUUGAAGAUGGAAAGCAGAGAUUUGGUUCAUGCAGUAUCUUCUUAAUUCUCUCUUGGGUCUAGAAAGCCCAACUACUUGAGUGAGCAAAGAGACUAUUUGAGAAUGAAAAGUAGAGCCUUGCUUCAUGCAGUAUCUCUUUCUUAGUAGAUGUUUGAAGAUGGGAAGGAGAGACUUGCUUCAUGCAAUAUCUCCUUAUUAAGUGUCUUUUGAGUCUGUCAGAUCUAACCCCUUGAGAGAGCAGAGAGAAUGUCUAAGGUGAAAAAGAAGAGCCGAGCUUCCAGCAGAAUCUCCCUUUAAAAGGACACCUGGGUGUUCACAACCUAUAGCCUCAAGUGGGCGGAGAAUAUUUUUGUCAGAAAAGGAGAAACCUGCUUCAUGCAAUAGCUACUUAGUUCUCUCUUGGUUCUCUAUGGCCUAAGUCCUCGAGAGAGCAGAGAGAAUGUAUGAGAUGAAAGAUGAGAGAUGUGCUUUAUGCAGUAUCUCCCAUUUAUUUUUCCAGUAGACCUUCAGAACCUAAUGCCCCAAGUGAGAAGAGAGGAUAGUUUAAGUGGAAAAAGAGAGCCUUGCUUCAGGCAAUAUUUCCCCUUCAUUCUCUUGAGGGUUUUUACUACCCAGUGACUCAAGAGAGCAGAGGAAAUGAUUAAAGAGGUAAAGGAGAAAUUUGCUUCAUGCCAUAUGCACUUGGUAACUGUCCUGUGGGUCUUUAAGGCCCAACUCAUUGAGAGGACAAAGAAAAUAUUUGAGGAGGAAAUUCUUCGUAAUUCUCUUCUUGGGCUUCAAGGCCUGACUACUUGAGCCAAUUUGUGGUACAACACACAAAAGUCUCCGAGCUAAUUGCCCCCAAAACCUCUGAAAGAGAUUUCACCUUUAUCCUCUCACACUACCUGUGGGGGACGAACGGCAUCAAGGCCCAGGGCCCCCGGGACAGCAAAAGAGCGCCAGCCUCGGUAUAGGAAGGCUCUGGGAAUGCUUGUUCAUCACCCGCAGAAGAAGAGAGGACACGUGGAAAUCAGGCAACUGUC